Molecule: ribosomal RNA, 253 nt
Filed under: uncultured bacterium
Lineage: Bacteria
Description: partial 16S ribosomal RNA
Rfam family: Bacterial small subunit ribosomal RNA
Source: RNAcentral
UACGUAGGGUGCGAGCGUUACUCGGAAUUACUGGGCGUAAAGCGUGCGCAGGCGGUUCGCCAAGUCAGGUGUGAAAUCCCCGGGCUUAACCUGGGAAUUGCGCUUGAAACUAGCGGGCUUGAGUGUGGCAGAGGGGGGUGGAAUUCCACGUGUAGCAGUGAAAUGCGUAGAGAUGUGGAGGAACACCGAUGGCGAAGGCAGCCCCCUGGGUCAACACUGACGCUCAUGCACGAAAGCGUGGGGAGCAAACAGG